Gossypium raimondii (Peruvian cotton) is the source of this 989-nucleotide RNA transcript. It is a transcript of the gene named heavy metal-associated isoprenylated plant protein 47, with no coding region annotated. NCBI's taxonomy places the organism in Eukaryota, Viridiplantae, Streptophyta, Magnoliopsida, Malvales, Malvaceae. The transcript is spliced from 4 exons. The record is from RefSeq and is a predicted model, not a curated record.
CAGGAAGUGCAACUAGCCUUAUCCGGUUCGGUUUUUAAACAUAGUUUCUCACUACUUUGCCUAAUAAAUAAGCAGAUUUAGUGUCUCUUUUUUUUAUUCAUUCAAAGUCAUACAUAUUUCAUAGAAUUUCUUCAUUGGAAAGCUGCUUCUUAGAUACUUAUAUAUAAUCAGAUAUGAAGCAAAAGAUGGUUCUGAAGGUGCAAAUGAACUGUGAGAAAUGUCGAACACAGGCUUUGAGGAUUGCUGCUGCUUCACAAGGAAGCAUGUGAGCUGCAAUAUAACACUUAACGCCAAAGUUGAUGAAUAAGUUGAUAGAAGGACUUGAUUGGAACGAUAUUAUAAUUUGAAGAUUCAGUUGGGACAUUUUGAAGUUCAGGAUCAAUUAGAAUUGGUAAAAUGUAAAAGUGUGACUAGCAUGGCAAUACAAGGGCAAGAAAAAGAUGAACUAAUGGUAGCUGGAAACGGAGUGGACUCAGUUAAGUUGACUCGUUGUUUAAGAAAGAAGCUUCACCAUGCUACCAUAUUGAUCGUAGAAGAAAUAAAAGAGAAGAAGAAAGAAGAGAAGAAAGAUGAUGAAAAAUAUACCUCGCCUUAUUAUGUAUGUUAUCCCCAUAUCCCAUGCCUCCACAAAUUAUGGUUCAAGAUCCAUGCCAAUACCAAGCAUGUUCCAUCAUGUGAUGCAUCACUUAUCCAUCAAGUUUAUGUUACUCCAUUCCCGACCUACACAAGAUUAUACUCAGGGUGUAAAAUGGAUGAAAAAACCUCAAGAUAUAAUGAAAGGAGGAUGCAAAUAUGUAUUUGAUAUGAUUAUAAAUUAGAAUAAAGGUCGAUCGAGUCUUAGCUCUAGUAACACCGGUAUUAUUGUCAUAGAAGAAAGGCUUUAGGGACUUGCUUUUAUAUAUAGUACAAUUAAUAUUUUUGUAUGACAAGUACAAUUAAAUUGAUAAUAUCAACGAUUGGAUUAUUAAAAUAUUAAUCGUAAACUAAAG